Molecule: long non-coding RNA, 190 nt
Filed under: Zonotrichia albicollis (white-throated sparrow)
Lineage: Eukaryota; Metazoa; Chordata; Aves; Passeriformes; Passerellidae
Description: lncRNA (ENSZALG00000012938.1)
Source: RNAcentral
GUUCAUUACCUGACCAGUGCACAAGAAUAGUUCACCAUGGAGCAGGAACAGAGAAGACUCUGAGAUAAAGGCUGGGAAAUACUUUUUGAAAGUCACUUUCUCCACUAGAAGAUAUAUCAGGUAAGUCCUCAUUAAAGUCUUGUCUAAAUGAAUUAGAAAAUCUAGAUUUGAUCCUUGAUAUUUUCUUUAA